GGACGAUCAAUUUUAUUUUGCUUCUAUACUUUAAUGCAUUAUUAAUUACUCAGGGAGACUAGAGAUAGUAAACUAGUAAUUAAUAGUAGGCUCUUUUCGCUAAAGAAUUGGGUUUAGGGUAGGCUAAGAAAGUUUGCAUGGCAAUUAGAUAAUAAAGCGAAUUAAAUAAGAAAAGUAGAUAUAAGAGGAUGAAUAAGAUGAAAUUGUAAACCCCAACAACUCCAUUCAUUCAUAUCUUUUCUUUGCCAAUUGAUUCACUUGCAUUUGCAUGUUUAUUUUCGUUUUGCAUUCACACUACAAAAUUUAUUUCUUUUCAAGUCUUAUAAGAUCAAUUUACAUGAAAGAUAAGGCCUAAGAGUUGUUUAGGAGAACGAUACUUGGACUUACCGUUUAUAUAU
This 398-nucleotide long non-coding RNA is filed under the name Vigna radiata. Its description in RNAcentral is "long non-coding RNA (VRAD_LNC008687)". Lineage: Eukaryota; Viridiplantae; Streptophyta; Magnoliopsida; Fabales; Fabaceae. The record is from RNAcentral.